UGGGGGAUAUUGGACAAUGGGGGAAACCCUGAUCCAGCGACGCCGCGUGAGUGAAGAAGUAUUUCGGUAUGUAAAGCUCUGUCAGCAGGGAAGAAAGAAAUGACGGUACCUGACCAAGAAGCCCCGGCUGACUACGUGCCAGCAGCCGCGGUAAUACGUAGGGGGCAAGCGUUAUCCGGAAUUACUGGGUGUAAAGGGAGCGUAGACGGUGAUGCAAGUCUGGAGUGAAAGGCGGGGGCCCAACCCCCGGACUGCUCUGGAAACUGUGUAACUUGAGUGCAGGAGAGGUAAGCGGAAUUCCUAGUGUAGCGGUGAAAUGCGUAGAUAUUAGGAGGAACACCAGUGGCGAAGGCGGCUUACUGGACUGUAACUGACGUUGAGGCUCGAAAGCGUGGGGAGCAAACAGG
This 407-nucleotide ribosomal RNA is filed under the name uncultured bacterium. RNAcentral's name for it is "bacterial SSU rRNA". It matches the Rfam family "Bacterial small subunit ribosomal RNA", at positions 355 to 776 of the family's 1533-position model. The record is from RNAcentral.